This 210-nucleotide unclassified non-coding RNA is filed under the name Oryza sativa (Asian cultivated rice). RNAcentral's name for it is "precursor microRNA 164c". The record is from RNAcentral. Lineage: Eukaryota; Viridiplantae; Streptophyta; Magnoliopsida; Poales; Poaceae.
UGAGGAUGGCGAGACGCGCGCGGUGGAGAAGCAGGGCACGUGCAUUCCUAGAGCUUCCGUCCAGCUCCCCGGCGGGCUAGCUAGCUCACUCCGCCGCCGCCGCCGCCGCCGCCGGCGCGCGCACGGCUGGCUGGCUCCGGCCGGCUGAGAUGCAUGCACGGAUGCAUGUGCCCUUCUUCUCCACCGUGCACGCCUCGCCUGCAGCAAGGA